CCUACGGGAGGCAGCAGUGAGGAAUAUUGGUCAAUGGCCGGAAGGCUGAACCAGCCAUGCCGCGUGAAGGUCAGUGCCCUAUGGGCGUUAAACUUCUUUUGUGCGGGCGCAAUAAUGGUCACGUGUGGCCAGACGAGAGUACCGUACGAAUAAGCAUCGGCUAACUCCGUGCCAGCAGCCGCGGUACUCCGGGGGAUGCAUGCGUUAUCCGGAUUUAUGGGGUUUAACGGGUGCUUCGUCUGUGAGGUAAGUCAGGGGUGAAAUGCCCCCGCUCAACGGGGUGAAGUGCCAUUGAUACUGCCUUGCUGGAAUGCUGAUGCCGUGGGAGGAAUGUGUGGUGUAGCGGUGAAAUGCAUAGAGAUCACACAGAACACCGAUUGCGAAGGCAUCUCACGAAUCCGCGAUUGACGCUGAUGCACGAAAGCGUGGGUAUCAAACAGGAUUAGAUACCCCAGUAGUC
Molecule: ribosomal RNA, 460 nt
Filed under: uncultured bacterium
Lineage: Bacteria
Description: partial 16S ribosomal RNA
Rfam family: Bacterial small subunit ribosomal RNA
Source: RNAcentral